Molecule: non-coding RNA, 69 nt
Organism: Podarcis lilfordi (Lilford's wall lizard)
Lineage: Eukaryota; Metazoa; Chordata; Lepidosauria; Squamata; Lacertidae
Source: the annotation of a GenBank genome assembly
ACUGUAGCUUGAUGGUGGAGCAUCUGCUGUGCAUGCAGAACGUCCCAGGUUUAAUCCCUGGCAUAUUUA